This 1254-nucleotide ribosomal RNA is filed under the name Triticum aestivum (bread wheat). Its description in RNAcentral is "partial small subunit ribosomal RNA". Lineage: Eukaryota; Viridiplantae; Streptophyta; Magnoliopsida; Poales; Poaceae. The record is from RNAcentral.
AUGAACGAUGAUCUCAUCAAGCCUUACACUGCUGAAGAGGUGAAGGUUGCGCUGUUCUAGAUGGCGCCCUCCAAAGCCCCUGGAGUAGAUGGUUUUACUGCAGGGUUUUAUCAGCGCCAUUGGGAUUUGCUAGGCGCUGAUGUGACACUGGCAGUUCUGGAUUUUCUCAACGGAGGUGAGUUACCAGUGGGGCUGAACGAUACUUCUAUCACUCUAAUCCCCGAGGUACGCCAUCCGCAAUUGAUCUCACAGUAUUGACCUAUUGCUUUGUGUCCGGUCUUGUACAAGAUUGCAGCCAAGGCUAUUACAAAUCGGUUGAGAAACAUGAUGGAUCUAAUCAUCAGUGAAGAACAAAGUGCCUUCGUCCCGGGACGUCUUAUUACAGAUAACGUGCUAGUUGCUUAUGAAAGUAUACACACGAUGAAAAGAAGGAAGAAGGGGCGGAAUUUUUCUUGUGCGGUUAAGCUCGAUAUGAUGAAGGCUUAUGAUCGUGUAGAGUGGCAUCAUCUUGAAGCAAUAUUGUCACGUCUCAGUUUCAGCAUUAGCUUCAUUAGACUAAUCAUGAAGUGUGUCUCCUCUGUACGGUUCUCAGUUCGUGUUAAUGGAGAGCUACUACCAUAUUUCACACCAACGAGGGGUUUUCGACAAGGUGAUCCUGUGUCACCAUAUUUAUUUUUGUUGUGUGCUGAAGGCCUUUCCUCAUUGUUGAAAUACUACAAUGGAGGAGUUGUUGACAGGGGGCUGCGGGUGAGCUAUCGAUCUCCGUGGGUCACCCAUCUCUUAUUUGCGGAUGACAGCCUCACCUUCAUCAAGGCAAACAAUCUGAGUGCUAUCCGUUUGAAUGAAAUUCUCAGAAUUUAUGGUGAAGCUUCGGGUCAGUGUGUCAAUAGAGACAAAAGCUCAAUAUAUUUCAACACCAACACACCAUCAGAUCUGCGGCAAGUCUUGAAGGCUACUCUGAACAUUCAAGUAGAAGCUUUCAAUGAAAAGUAUCUGGGUCUACCCACAGCUGUUGGGCGGAUCACGAGUGGGACUUUUGAUCAUAUCAGCGAAAGGGUACGUUCAAAAAUCCAGGGAUGGUCAGAGAGGCUACUAGCUUGUGCGGGGCGUGACACUUUGUUAAAAUCAAUAGCUCAAGCUAUUCCCACAUAUCCUAUGAGUACCUUUCUGCUUACCAAGAAAGUUUGCAAGAGCUUAACUUCACCCAUGGCUAAAUACUUUUGGGGCAGUUCUCUUGACAAGAAGGCUAUGCAU